AAUAAAUCAAUCAGUACGGAGUAUCACCGAGCUCCAGAAUGAAUGUGCAACACAUCCGAGCUCAUGUACUACCACAAGAUGGCACUGUGGUCAAUGAUUUGGCACUGGCUCAUCACAAUUUUUUUUUUUUAUCUUUACAGAUCGAGGCUUCCUCUCCAGAUUUGACAAUGUUCUUCCUGCCAGCUUGGCCUUUGAUAAAUGCACUGCCUGCUCACAAGUGGUCCUGGACCAUUACGAGCGUGAAGGAUUCCAGUUUUGUCCAAGGUGUUCAACUCGUCUCACUCCUUCCUGGAGGAUUUGACGGGUCUGACCCUGCUUGCAUCAGGAGACACAGGCUGCUGAGAUUUGGGACAUGAGUGAUGAUGAAAGUAUCUGAAGACCGAUCCGUAGACGGACGAAGCUGACGCAGGUCAUCACUGGACACCUUGGCCAGCCUGCAGGACAUUACCAAAACUUGGGUAUCACUCAGAUGGAGCUUAACAUUAUUAAGACAUUCCUCGAUAAUGAAAUGAUGGUGGAUCCAGCACACUCUUAUUAACGAGGAAACGCAACAAUUCUGUUUACGUGAGUGAUUCCAAUACAGUCGUGUAGUCCACAACCAAAAUGUUUAACUUUACUGUUUGUUUACUCAAACGUCAAAAUCCUUGUCUGUCAUGAACAGCUAAUAACUAUAAUCUCUGUGGUGUCUCUCUAAACAAACUCCUUUUUAAUAAAAUAAAUCAUGAAAUAAAAAUUGUCCCAAAAAACAUCUAUCCAAUAUACUUAAAUAUUCUGUGUAAAUAAUGUGAUGAUGGGGGGAAAACUCGCGGUCAUGAAUCAGUCAUUUAAUGUGCUCAGUUGGAUUGGUUUUUAAUGUGAUUAUAAACUGGACUAUCCAUCCAUCUUCUGUACUGCAUAUCCCACACAAAGUCGCAGGGGAGCCUGGAGACUAUACCAGGGAACUCGGGGCACGAGGCGGGGGACACCCUGGACGGGGUGCCAACCCAUCACAGGGCACAAUCACACACCUAUUCACACACUACGGACAAUUUGGAAAUUCCAAUCAGCCUACAACACAUGUCUUUGGACUGGAGGAGGAAACCGGAGGAAACCCUCGGAGUACAACGAGAGAAUGCCAACUCCGCACACACCGGGCAGACGCAGGAUUCGAACCCCCAACCACGGAGGUGCCAGGCAAACGUACUACGAUCUAAGCCACCAUGCCCUCCAUAAACUGAACUAGAAGACCUUAAAUAAUUUUAGAGCAAAUUUAUUUUACUCUAUUUGGAAAUCAACACCUAGGAGUACUGCGUUGAUAAUCAGAAAUACUGUGUCUUUACAAUAAGCUCCCCAGACCAAAAAUGAGUUGCGUGUUUCAUUUCUUCUGGGAUACAUGGUUACUCUUCCUCUCACCUAAAUAACAGCAGCAAUCCUGUCACUUGUGGUUCACUUGCUGUUUUAAAUGACCCCACAGGUGACUGAGGUCUGCUGAUGUUACAGGCCAGUUACAAUGUCCCAGUGUUCCAUCAGCUUCCUUCCAUCUGCUUCCUUCCAUCAGCUUCCUUCCAUUGCAGGAACUACGGCUGCUUCUAAGGCCAAACAGACUUCAUAUAAAACCAUAAUUAACUUUUCCACACUAUCUGUUGUUACCCAGAUGAGUCUGGUUCCUCUCAAGGUUUGUUCCUCUUAACAUCUUAGGGAGUUUUUCCUUGCCACCGGCUUGCUCAAUUGGGAUAAAUUUGCAAAUUCAAAAUCUGUAUACUGUGUUUAUAUGUUUCUGUAAAGCUGCGUUGAGACAGUGUCUAUUGUAAAAAUCACUAUAAAAUAAUAUCAAAUAAAAUUGAAUUGAACUGAAUCAGCC
Long non-coding RNA from Ictalurus punctatus (channel catfish), 1840 nucleotides. The record is from Ensembl. Lineage: Eukaryota; Metazoa; Chordata; Actinopteri; Siluriformes; Ictaluridae.